UNGAGCGGGUAUAGAGAAGCUUGCUUCUCUUGUANAGCGGCGGACGGGAUGAGUAAAGCCUAGGAAUCUGCCUGGAUAGGUGGGGGAUAACGUUCGGAAACGGACGCUAAUACCGCAUACGUCCUACGGGAGAAAGCAGGGGACCUUCGGGCCUUGCGCUAUCANAUGAGCCUAGGUCGGAUUAACUAGUUGGUGAGGUAAUGGCUCACCAAGGCGACGAUCCGUAACUGGUCUGAGAGGAUGAUCAGUCACACUGGAACUGAGACACGGUCCAGACUCCUACGGGAGGCAGCAGUGGGGAAUAUUGGACAAUGGGCGAAAGCCUGAUCCAGCCAUGCCGCGUGUGUGAAGAAGGUCUUCGGAUUGUAAAGCACUUUAAGUUGGGAGGAAGGGCAUUAACCUAAUACGUUANUGUUUUGACGUUACCGACANAAUAAGCACCGGCUAACUCUGUGCCANCAGCCGCGGUAAUACAGAGGGUGCAAGCGUUAAUCGGAAUUACUGGGCGUAAAGCGCGCGUANGUGGUUUGUUAAGUUGGAUGUGAAAUCCCCGGGCUCAACCUGGGAACUGCAUUCAAAACUGACUGACUAUAGUAUGGU
Molecule: ribosomal RNA, 600 nt
Filed under: Pseudomonas fluorescens
Lineage: Bacteria; Pseudomonadati; Pseudomonadota; Gammaproteobacteria; Pseudomonadales; Pseudomonadaceae
Description: bacterial SSU rRNA
Rfam family: Bacterial small subunit ribosomal RNA
Source: RNAcentral